This 450-nucleotide ribosomal RNA is filed under the name uncultured bacterium. Its description in RNAcentral is "partial 16S ribosomal RNA". It matches the Rfam family "Bacterial small subunit ribosomal RNA", at positions 354 to 796 of the family's 1533-position model. The record is from RNAcentral.
GUGGGGAAUCUUCCGCAAUGGACGAAAGUCUGACGGAGCAACGCCGCGUGAGUGAAGAAGGUUUUCGGAUCGUAAAGCUCUUUCGUUAGGGACGAACGUGCUCUUUGUGAAUAAUGAGGAGUAAUGACGGUACCUAAAUAAGAAGCCACGGCUAACUACGUGCCAGCGGCCGCGGUAAUACGUAGGUGGCAAGCGUUGUCCGGAAUUAUUGGGCGUAAAGCGCGCGCAGGCGGGAUAUCAAGUCCGUCUUAAAAGUGCGAGGCUCAACCUCGUGAGGGGACAGAAACUGGUAUUCUUGAGUGUCGGAGAGGAAAGUGGAAUUCCAAGUGUAGCGGUGAAAUGCGUAGAGAUUUGGAAGAACACCAGUGGCGAAGGCGACUUUCUGGACGAUGUCUGACGCUGAGGCGCGAAAGCUAGGGGAGCGAACGGGAUUAGAAACCCUGGUAGUCC